This 197-nucleotide unclassified non-coding RNA is filed under the name uncultured Russula. Its description in RNAcentral is "sequence contains ITS1". The record is from RNAcentral. Lineage: Eukaryota; Fungi; Basidiomycota; Agaricomycetes; Russulales; Russulaceae.
UCGUAAAACCGAGGUGCGAGGGCUGUCGCUGACCUUUUCGGUCGUGCACGCCCGAGCGCUCUCACACAAUCCAUCUCACCCCUUGUGCACCACCGCGUGGGUCCCUUUCUGGCUUGUCCGGAGGGGGGCUCGCGUUUUCACACAAACUUGAAGUAGUGUAGAAUGUCUUACCUUUUUGCGAUUAUGCGCAAUCAAUA